UGGGCCACCACCGCGCGCCGCGGGCGGGUGCAGGGCCCCUCUGCCGCAGGGAAACCGGCGUUCCCCGCGCAAAGCAGCCGCUGCUCCUAAUGAGCUCAUGGGUUCACCGCGCUGAGCUAGCCAGAGCGGACCCGGCUUCGCCAAGGGCCUGCUGGCUGUCCUGACACCUGGCCUACCUCGGGGGUGCCUGGCACCUCGAAGGUUGGAAAUUCCAGCACUCUCCUGAGGCCUCUUCCCCAGCGAAUCCUGCUAACCACGCAGUCGGUGUUCGCUGUGUGUUCGAGCACACACCUCCUUGCAGUGGCUUCAGCACCCAGGUCUCCGGGAGCCAGUGAAGGAACCAAGUGUUGGAUACUGAGCAAGUCGCGUAACAUCUGAGUAGUCGUGAAAUUGAAAUUUCAACGGUAUAAAGGACACGACGUUGUCUUACAGAUUGAAAAAUGCUAUAAAAUGAAGUUCUUACUGUUACUAUGAUGAUGACCCUGGAGAUCAGCGCAGAGCCCUGGGGGAGGGCUACAGUUGCAAGCGCUCCAAGGAUCAGAUCGCGCACUCCUCCCCACCGGAGAAAACCUCUUGAUGCCGGAGCCCGGGCAGCCUCUUCCACACUUCCAGCCAGCCCCUUCCACACUUCCAGCCAGCCCCGGCAUUGCCACAGCCCGUGGAGCUGGACAGAAAUCCACCAGGCACUAAAAUAAGUUAGAUGGAAGACGGGAUGGAUUUGACCAAAUUCCUAUCAGCAUCUGCUCAGUAUAAUUGCAACAUUAUAAUCAGAGCAGAAAGAAGCCCAGAGAUUAUUUUGUCUUCAAGGAUCAUUGGCCUCAGUAUUAUCUCCAUCUGAAGCUGUGUUGUCCAAAGCAGAUUGACUCCAGCCGGCCAGCUCAGAAGAGGGCCGACUCUGGGCUGGCGACUCCUUGAGAAGGGCUCUCUCUGGUCCCAGGUGGUAUUUACUUAACCGUAUCAUCAUCUGCUUCAUUCGUGUUCCCUUCAUGUCCAUCAUGUGAGGACGGGAACUGACAGGGCCAGGGUGUCGGCUCAGAGGCAAUCUCUGCUCAUCCUCUAGAGCCCCACUUCAUCACCCAGCCACUCUGUCCACUGUCUCCCCACCUACAAACCUGCAGGUGUUCUGCCCCAGUACUAGAAUAAGGGAACACAUUUUUACUGAGCUCUGACAAUGUGACUGGGCUUUUCAGGAGCUAUUUCAUUUAAUUUUUAAUGUAAAACAUUGUUUUACAUAUUAAGAACCUAAAAGCACAAACAGUAAGUAACUUGCUUGUGGAAGCUUAUGCAGCGAGAUAAGUGGUAAAGCUGCAAUUCCCAGUUUUGUUUGAUGCCACAGCUGAAGGUGCAAGGCCAUCUGGGCACGGCCUGAGUGGAUAUUAGGGAAAAAUGCCCUAAAAGGUCCAGAAUCUCUAAUAAUUUCUCCUACUUCUCAUUUUAUUUUAUUUUUGACGCUGGAGUUUUUUUUUUUUUUUUGAGUCAGGAUCUUGCUCUAUUGCCCAGGCUGGAGGGCAGUGGUGCAAUUUCAGCUCACUGCAACCUCUGCCUCCCAAGUUCAAGCGAUUCUCCUGCCUCAGCCUCCUGCAUAGCUGGGACUACAGGCAUGCACCACCAUACCCAGCUAAUUUUUGUGGAGAUGGGGUUUUGCCACAUGGCCCAGGCUGGUCUCAAACUCCUGAGCUCAAGCGAUCUGCCCUCAUCAGCCUCCCAAAGUGCUGGGAUAACAGGCAUGAGCCACUGCACUAGGCGAAAACGUUUAUUUUAGAAAAACUGAAAAAUAUAGAAACAUAAAGGAAGAAAAGCAUUCAUAAUCUCAUCACCUAGAGAAAGCCAUUAGUAAUAUUCAUAUUUCUUUCCAGUCUUUUUUCUAGCUUUCUAGCUUUAAACUAAGUUGAGAUAAAACCACACACACACACACACAGACACACAAGUGCAUCCUGCUUUUUGUUAAAAAUAACUUUGUGGGAAAUUCUUCCUCCUUUGAGGAUUUUUAAAAAACAUUAAUUUAAAUGUCAUACAAUAUUUUUAUCAUAUGAAUAUCUCAUAAUUUCCCUUUUAUUGAAUAUUUCCAACUUUUAUUGAUUGUAAAUAAUGGCAAUAAAAUUUUUUCUUCAUAAAUC
RNAcentral lists this long non-coding RNA (2117 nucleotides) under Homo sapiens (human). RNAcentral describes it as "HSALNT0275119". Lineage: Eukaryota; Metazoa; Chordata; Mammalia; Primates; Hominidae. The record is from RNAcentral.